Molecule: ribosomal RNA, 438 nt
Filed under: uncultured bacterium
Lineage: Bacteria
Description: partial 16S ribosomal RNA
Rfam family: Bacterial small subunit ribosomal RNA
Source: RNAcentral
CUACGGGUUGCUGCAGUGGGGAAUAUUGCACAAUGGGCGAAAGCCUGAUGCAGCAACGCCGCGUGAGUGAUGAAGGCCUUCGGGUCGUAAAACUCUGUCCUCAAGGAAGAUAAUGACGGUACUUGAGGAGGAAGCCCCGGCUAACUACGUGCCAGCAGCCGCGGUAAUACGUAGGGGGCUAGCGUUAUCCGGAUUUACUGGGCGUAAAGGGUGCGUAGGUGGUUUCUUAAGUCAGGAGUGAAAGGCUACGGCUUAACCGUAGUAAGCUCUUGAAACUGGGGAACUUGAGUGCAGGAGAGGAAAGUGGAAUUCCUAGUGUAGCGGUGAAAUGCGUAGAUAUUAGGAGGAACACCAGUAGCGAAGGCGGCUUUCUGGACUGUAACUGACACUGAGACACGAAAGCGUGGGGAGCAAACAGGAUUAGAUACCCUCGUAGUC